GAAGAAGGGUUUCGGCUCGUAAAACUCUGUUGUUAAAGAAGAACAUAUCUGAGAGUAACUGUUCAGGUAUUGACGGUAUUUAACCAGAAAGCCACGGCUAACUACGUGCCAGCAGCCGCGGUAAUACGUAGGUGGCAAGCGUUGUCCGGAUUUAUUGGGCGUAAAGCGAGCGCAGGCGGUUUUUUAAGUCUGAUGUGAAAGCCUUCGGCUCAACCGAAGAAGUGCAUCGGAAACUGGGAAACUUGAGUGCAGAAGAGGACAGUGGAACUCCAUGUGUAGCGGUGAAAUGCGUAGAUAUAUGGAAGAACACCAGUGGCGAAGGCGGCUGUCUGGUCUGUAACUGACGCUGAGGCUCGAAAGUAUGGGUAGCAAACAGGAUUAGAUACCCUGGUAGUCCAUACCGUAAACGAUGAAUGCUAAGUGUUGGAGGGUUUCCGCCCUUCAGUGCUGCAGCUAACGCAUUAAGCAUUCCGCCUGGGGAGUACGGCCGCAAGGCUGAAACUCAAAGGAAUUGACGGGGGCCCGCACAAGCGGUGGAGCAUGUGGUUUAAUUCGAAGCUACGCGAAGAACCUUACCAGGUCUUGACAUACUAUGCAAAUCUAAGAGAUUAGACGUUCCCUUCGGGGACAUGGAUACAGGUGGUGCAUGGUUGUCGUCAGCUCGUGUCGUGAGAUGUUGGGUUAAGUCCCGCAACGAGCGCAACCCUUAUUAUCAGUUGCCAGCAUUAAGUUGGGCACUCUGGUGAGACUGCCGGUGACAAACCGGAGGAAGGUGGGGAUGACGUCAAAUCAUCAUGCCCCUUAUGACCUGGGCUACACACGUGCUACAAUGGAUGGUACAACGAGUUGCGAACUCGCGAGAGUAAGCUAAUCUCUUAAAGCCAUUCUCAGUUCGGAUUGUAGGCUGCAACUCGCCUACAUGAAGUCGGAAUCGCUAGUAAUCGCGGAUCAGCAUGCCGCGGUGAAUACGUUCCCGGGCCUUGUACACACCGCCCGUCACACCAUGAGAGUUUGUAACACCCAAAGUCGGUGGGGU
RNAcentral lists this ribosomal RNA (1036 nucleotides) under Lactiplantibacillus plantarum. RNAcentral's name for it is "bacterial SSU rRNA". It matches the Rfam family "Bacterial small subunit ribosomal RNA", at positions 407 to 1436 of the family's 1533-position model. Lineage: Bacteria; Bacillati; Bacillota; Bacilli; Lactobacillales; Lactobacillaceae. The record is from RNAcentral.